CUCGGACUCUGACGGGUAGUGAACUCGGGGCCGCCGGGCUCCAGAGUCCCUCGGGUCUCAGGUCAUGGCGAUCCCGGGGCCCGCGCCCGGAGCUGGCGCCAGGCCCAGGUUAGAUCUGCAAUUUCUCCAGCGGUUCCUGCAGAUACUGAAGGUUUUGUUUCCUUCUUGGUCGUCACAGAAUGCCUUGAUGUUCCUGACCCUUUUGUGCCUGACCCUCCUGGAGCAAUUUGUGAUCUACCGGGUUGGCUUGAUCCCCAGUCAGUACUAUGGGGUCCUGGGAAACAAAGACUUGGAAGGGUUUAAGACUCUGACAUUCCUGGCUGUCAUGCUCAUUGUUCUGAACUCCACGGUAAGAUCUUUCUCUCUCUCUGUGUCUCUCUUCCUCUCCAGUCCAGUGUGAGCGUAAUGCCUAGUGGAACUUAGCCUCCAGGAAACAGGAAGCAAGCUGUGGGGGUGUGUUUCCUCCCUUUUCUGGGAACUAAAGGGAUAGUUGCCUUUAUUAAGCACAUUGAUCUUGCUAUUGGCCCAAGUGGGACUGAUUCCUCAGAUGUUUCCACUCCAGGGCCCAGGCCACAGGUUCUGGUUUAAUUCAGCAUUUAGCAGAACUGAUCAUUGCCCCUUUCCUUCCUAGAACCCUUGUUUCCGGCAGCUCAUUAAAACGGCUCGGCAGCCAGAGCUGCUGCUGCUCCUCUGCAGGACCGAGGCCGUGACUCACCCUG
Molecule: small RNA, 719 nt
Filed under: Pongo abelii (Sumatran orangutan)
Lineage: Eukaryota; Metazoa; Chordata; Mammalia; Primates; Hominidae
Description: retained intron
Source: RNAcentral